GACCCCUCAGUUUUCUUUAUCUUUAAAAAUGGGGUUGAGAAAGUCUCUACUCUCAGAAAAGGGAAAGGGGAAUGACAUGGUAAAUACAUCCUUUGGUCUGGUAAUCACUGCCAUGGAGGCUGAGAUUUGCAAGUGGGUCAAAGAGAAAUAGACAUUGCAUUAUCUAUUUCCGAAAGGGCACGUGAAGCCACAAUAAUGACUUAGCAAGUGGGUCCUUUCCCACCCGCCCCAGAAAGGUGAAUUCAAGGGUCCCAAAGGGUGGCUGGGCAGACUAGGAAUUUUCUUCCCUUAACUACUAAAGGGAGAGAGAAUCCCAAAGCACGGGGAAAGGCAUCAUGCCAUCGGGGAUCGGAAACGGUUUAAAUCUUCCUGAAGGGGUCCCUGGCCCGAAGCGCGUGACCUCCGCCAGGCGAUGAGUUCGCUCAGCCACAAUUUCUACGCUUGGACAGUAGGCUCCCUGCGGCAUCCGAGGCCGCUCACCGUUCAGGGUGUAUGAGACUGCGCCAACCCGAAGUCCGGUCCCGCGCGGCGGGCCCAGCCUGUCCCUCGGGGCAUGGCCACCGCCCAGGCCUCGGCCGCGGGCCACGCGGCCACCACGCCCCGACUCCCAGCCACAGCCCCUCCCGCCCGGCCCCACCCGGCCGGUCCGACUCACCCGUGUAGUGUACCACGCAGGUCUGGCCGCGCUUCGGGAAGGUGCGCCCUGAGGAGAGACAGACUGCAGAUAAAGAAUGCCAGGACCCCACCAAAGAUUCCACAGGGAUACAGGAGACAAGCGGGGAGUGAAGAUCCAGCCUGCCUCAAUCUUUGGUGUAAAAGCCAUCUUAUCAUAAAGACAAAGGAGGCCCACUCCUGUCUAUGGUUAGGCCUCUGCUUCUCAAGGAUUGGGCUUAUGCCCUACCUGCACCCUUACCUACAGAUAGUAGUUGGUUACCACCUGUUCCAGGAAUGGCAAUCCUGUCCCUGUUUCAAAGAGUGGUUUAUAGCCAUCUUGCAAUCCUACCCUUGUUGCAAAAGAUUAUAUGACCACCUAAUGACUACCUAGUUAUGACAAUGACUGCCUGCUGUUCCCACCUUGCAACCGUGUCUGUGUUUCAAGAGAUCAUUAGGACUGACUUGUUUGCCCUGCUCCUAUAAUGCCACCUAUUUUGCCCAUCAAAUCCACCACUUGGAAAUUCCGUACCCCUGAGCUAUGAAAGCCUUGUCUUCCUCACAUCGCAUCUAAUCUCGAACCCUGCCAUAGGGAGAGGCAGCCCUUGUGCAUGUUUAAAAAAAAAAAAACUCCUGUUUUAAUUAA
Molecule: long non-coding RNA, 1297 nt
Organism: Rattus norvegicus (Norway rat)
Lineage: Eukaryota; Metazoa; Chordata; Mammalia; Rodentia; Muridae
Source: RefSeq, a predicted model, not a curated record